CGGCUCUUUGCCUCUAAUUUAAACAUAAAUCAAGUUCAGAAUUGCAGCCUUGUGAAAACCUGGUAAUGUGCUUUCUUACCUUUCAGAUAUUGGACUUUUCUACCCAAUAGCAUGUUCUUUUAUCCUUUUUUUAUUUGCUUUUCCACUAGUAACUUUAUGUUAUGUGUGUGCUUUGUAAAUAUAAUGUAAUUUAUCUGACAGAAGUUUGGCAGGCAAUGCACAGGGGUGAUGGUGUCAGAAUGAUUGGGGAGCAGACUGCCUGGGGAAGGAAAAUGUGGCUUUUGAUGUUAAAUUGUAGGGUGACUUUGUGCAGUUCAUGUAACUUUUAUGCACCCCCACAUUCCUUUUCUGCAAUGGCAUUUCCAUAUGGCAUGAGCAGGAGAAGAGUCGGUGUCUGCUAUCUGGGAAAUGGAAACAUAACCUAACCAAACACUCCAAUUUCAUCCUUUUCUUCUUAUAGUGAGCCAUGAAGUCAGCAAUGGUGUGUCUGGGUAACCACUGUACCCACAGCUCUAGAAUGAUGCCUGACCCAUGGAAGAGGCUGCUCAUUAUUUAUUUCCUGGAUUCACUAUGAAUGGAUCAAUCAACAAAUGGAUUAUGGGCAUUAUUUGUGAUGUCAUGUAUGCAUGGAUAAAAAUACUGAAAUACAUAUGCCCCACAUAGAACACCAGCAUGACCUCAUCUAGGCAGGUAUGUUUGUGAGUGUGGGCUUCCUGAAGACUGGAAGACUAGGCAGCCUCCAGGAAGAAGCUGUGGGGGAGGGUGGUGGUGUGGUUCUCUUCUCAGUUUUGACAGGAACCGUCAUUCCAGGGUUCUGGGAUGUCCUGGGCUAGGCCUUCACAGCAUCCUGAAUUUCUCCCCUAGCCAACUAUGUGGCCAAUCUCCAUGAAAGAAAAGGACCUUUCUUCCUGUGCUUUAACUUCAAACUGGGGUCAAAGGCCUUAGGCUGGUUUGAAAAUAAAUAAAGGCCCUGCGUAGACAAAAGCCAUUCUGGAGCCAGCCCUUGCUGUAAACACCAGCCUUCCUCUCCUUGGACCAGAAGUUUCCAGGCGCUUCCCUGGACUCACCAUGACCUCACUUAGCCCAAAGACCUGGUGGUGGUGACGGCGCUGGUGGUCUUCUGGAAAGAGCCAGAGAGGCUUCUAAAGGAAGUCGGAAGUGGAUCUCUGAAAAACAAAACAUGUCUAUGCAUUCUCAAGUUUAGUAUGAAUUUUACUUUUAUAAAGUGUAUGUAGAAAGGGAGUGGAGGAUGCAGCCAUGAUAUUCAAUGCAUAUACUAUGAAACUAGGAGCAUUGAAGGGAAAGGGAGGGUUUGAAAAGAUGGAGGAGAAUAACGAAAAGGGUGAUAUUGCUCAAGAUGCAUUGUACUCACAAAGACAUGUUGAAUGGUAACCCUGGCGUACAACUACUUAAAGGUGAAAAAGAAUAUAUAGUAUACUAGUCAUAAAGGAUAACAUAGCAUCAAUACACUUUAGUGUAAAUUCCAGACGGUGCAUUGUAUCUAGAGUUCCUACGGUUGCAAUCAGAUAACAAGUAUGCUAUUGACAUGAAUGCUGGCUGAGUUUUGUGAACAAGUAACAUGAAAAUGGAAUAACAAAGAUGUGGGAAAACUGCUCAUGUGUCAAUGAUGUGACUCUUUGCUUAAUCAGAAAGACAACUGUCUCCACCUUCUAUGCCCAUUUCAAUAUAACUGCUAGAAUUGUUACAGUUUUAAGUAUAAUCUUCACGAUUAGCAUCACAUUGUUAAGUCUAGACCAUCGACCAAAGUAAAAGUGAAGCUUGAUUUGUAGCACUUGCACAUUUCUGUGAUAUAAACCAUCCCACAUUGGCCAAUUUCAAUCUGUGAAAGAUGCUGUGGGACUCAGCCUAUCUGUUCCUACUUGAAAUGCCAGAGGAAGCACAGAACCUAGUAAACUCAACUAGUUAGGAGUAAUGAGUUCCACCCUAUUAUCUCUUAUUAACGUCAUAUAUUUAAACACAGGUUUAUAAUUUUUAUAUAACUUAACUUUCAAUAAUGGCUGUAUGAUCUCUAAAAAUUCUACCCAACUUAACAGUUGUCUUUCAGGACUAUGUAAUCAGGGGCAAUCCCAGGAGCCCCAGAACAGAGAAGGAAGAUGAGACUUAUCAGUGAGUGGGCUCCAUGCUGGGUGGACAAGUGGGUACCUAGCCCUGAAACUGACAUGGGAAAGUAAUUCCUGGGACCCACUGGAGAGGCAAAAGAAAUCGAAAAGGGACUUUUUUUUUUUUUUGCCAGAGUACAGAUGAGAUUCUCCCAUAACCGUCGGGUAGCGCUGGGAAAUUCUUGACACCCAUGACUUUUACUGCUCGGUAUUUUGCUUUGUUGUUGAACUUACUGUGUUAAAACAUGCAGUUGCUUGGCCAUUUGAGUCUAUAUGGAAGCUGUUGUCUGAUUGCUUCCCUUGUCAGGGCAUUGUUUACCAAGCACAGGUGUGAGAAGUUUGACCUCCAAAUUGGAGAUACAGUUUGGAAGCUAAUGACAGAUAUUUUGAUGUCUGUUAUUUGAUGCUUUGGCCCAUAUGUAUAACUGCAGUAUUAAAAGCAUGGACAAUA
Long non-coding RNA from Dipodomys spectabilis (banner-tailed kangaroo rat), 2571 nucleotides. RefSeq lists it as uncharacterized. The transcript is spliced from 2 exons. The record is from RefSeq and is a predicted model, not a curated record. NCBI's taxonomy places the organism in Eukaryota, Metazoa, Chordata, Mammalia, Rodentia, Heteromyidae.